AGAGUUUGAUCCUGGCUCAGAACGAACGCUGGCGGCGUGGAUAAGACAUGCAAGUUGAACGGUUGAUUCAAGGUAGCAAUAUUUUGGGUUAGCAGUGGCGUAAGGGUGCUUAACACGUGGGUAAUCUGCCGCGAAGUGUGGGAUAACUCGCUGAAAGGCGAGCUAAUACCGCAUGUGAUUUUCCUGAGGCAUCUCAGGGAUCUCAAACAUGGGUCGCAAGGCCUGUGGUUUCGCGAUGAGCCCGCGGCCUAUCAGCUAGUUGGCGGGGUAAAAGCCCACCAAGGCUAAGACGGGUAGCUGGUCUGAGAGGACGACCAGCCACACUGGAACUGAGACACGGUCCAGACACCUACGGGUGGCAGCAGUCGAGAAUUUUUCACAAUGGGGGAAACCCUGAUGGAGCGACGCCGCGUGGGGGAUGAAGGGCUUCGGUUCGUAAACCCCCGUCAUUGGCGAACAAGUGUUACGUUCUAAUACAGCGUGACUUGAUAGUAGCCGAAGAGGAAGGGACGGCUAACUCUGUGCCAGCAGCCGCGGUAAUACAGAGGUCCCGAGCGUUGUUCGGAUUCACUGGGCGUAAAGGGUGCGUAGGUGGUUGGGUAAGUUUGAGGUGAAAGCUCCGAGCCUAACUCGGAAAAUGCCUUGAAGACUAUCUGACUAGAGGAUUGGAGGGGAGAUUGGAAUUCUCGGUGUAGCAGUGAAAUGCGUAGAUAUCGAGAGGAACACCAGUAGCGAAGGCGAAUCUCUGGACAAUUCCUGACACUGAGGCACGAAAGCCAAGGGAGCAAACGGGAUUAGAUACCCCGGUAGUCUUGGCUGUAAACGGUGCGCACUUGCUGUGAGCGGAUUCGACCCCGCUCGUGGCGUAGUUAACACGAUAAGUGCGCCGCCUGGGAAGUACGGUC
RNAcentral lists this ribosomal RNA (905 nucleotides) under uncultured bacterium. RNAcentral describes it as "bacterial SSU rRNA". It matches the Rfam family "Bacterial small subunit ribosomal RNA", at positions 8 to 887 of the family's 1533-position model. The record is from RNAcentral.